CUUCAAGUCCAAUAAUAGAACGUUCAAUCUCAGAAACUCUUCCCAUGCUUCUCUCACUUUCUUCCCCUUCAUCGUUCGCCUAUCCCCCAGGCCACGCUUAACGACUUGACUGGCAAAUUUUUGUAGCCUCAACUCUGCUUCCUCCACCGUCCGUUCUCCCCGGCUUCUCUCGCUGUUGGAUUCGAAUAUUUGUGCUUCGAUCCAAAGAGCGAAGAUCUCCCGCCAUGCGUACAAGUCCUUGCGAGAAGCCUUGGACGGAUGCAUCUUAGGUGUAAUUUCAUUGGAUGGUGUGAGAGGCGUGGGGAUGAUUUCAAUACUGGCUUGAGGCGAUACCGAUUUCGAAAUCAUUUCGCAAAGCUUUUCGACGGAUUGUUGAAAGAGGAUCUGCUGUCUGGUGUGGAAAGAGGAGAGAGAGGAACUGAUAGAUGAAGGCGGAUUUGGGGUAAUGGAUGAUCUGGUGCGCCUGCCACCGUAUUAGUCAGCAAUGCUCUUUUGAAGGGCGUAAAUUCCUCACCAGUGACGACAUAUUCUGCCUUUAUUCCGCCAUGACCGACACUCACAGCUCUCUUGACAACUCUCCGGCUUCUAUGGCUUCCUUCAGAUCCCCUUCUCUCGCUUAUACGAUCAUCUUGAUAUGCAGAUGUAGCUUGCGACAGGCUGUUUGCUGUGGUCAAGCCGGUCACGUUACAUGGUUCAACGGCUUGGAAUGUCUCUGACAAAAGCCGUAACCUAAACUUGCGAGGAUGAGGGUGAUGCAAGUUAUCGGUGCUGAGCUGUCCGUCGUCCUCGAGUACCGGAUCGACCAGAACUUCUUGCGGUUCGUGGGGCAAAGGAAGAUAACCGAGCUGAAACGUGGACGGGACACCUUCUUCACUCUCAAAUUCAAAUUCUAUAAGCUCAUCCUCGGGUGUUUCACUGCUAUUGCCGUGUGGCCUAUCCAAUAGCAAGGAAUGGUUGUCUGCGACGAGAAGCUUGUUGAGAAUAUCUGGUGAAAGGCCCAUGGAGGUGAGCUCCGCGGCUACAUCUUUGAUGAUCUUCUUGAGCUAGACGGGUCACGUCAGUGUGUAGCUACUACGAUCAUACCGGAGGCAAACGCACCUGACGAUACUCGAUAGCAGAAGAUUUCCACUCCUCUGGAAAAUCGGAGCUAUCGAGCAGCUGCUGAAACUCUUUGCCGUACUUCAUCCAAGGCCGGCCCUCAUGGGUUAGGAUGUCGCAGUUCUUCGUCGAGCAAAUGUGUUCAUUUAGACAUGAACGGAUUGUUUAUUUGGCAUGAAAAAAUCGUGAUAAUAUGUCUGAAGACCGUCGAUACGCUGCUGAUCACGCACGUGCAGAGUAUCUCCAGGCACGAGAUAAGGUGAGCUUUAC
Molecule: small RNA, 1368 nt
Filed under: Cryptococcus neoformans H99
Lineage: Eukaryota; Fungi; Basidiomycota; Tremellomycetes; Tremellales; Cryptococcaceae
Description: Cryptococcus neoformans var. grubii H99 hypothetical RNA
Source: RNAcentral